This 378-nucleotide unclassified non-coding RNA is filed under the name plant metagenome. RNAcentral describes it as "partial contains 5.8S ribosomal RNA, internal transcribed spacer 2, and large subunit ribosomal RNA". The stretch from base 1 to 105 matches the Rfam family "5.8S ribosomal RNA", at positions 50 to 154 of the family's 154-position model. The record is from RNAcentral.
GAAAUGCGAUAAGUAAUGUGAAUUGCAGAAUUCAGUGAAUCAUCGAAUCUUUGAACGCACCUUGCGCUCCUUGGUAUUCCUUGGAGCAUGCCUGUUUGAGUAUCAUGAAAUCUUCAAAGUAAAUCUUUUGUUAACUCAAUUGGUUUCUACUUUGGUAUUGGAGGUCUUUGCAGCUUCACACCUGCUCCUCUUUGUUCAUUAGCUGGAUCUCAGUGUUAUGCUUGGUUCCACUCGGCGUGAUAAGUUAUCUAUCGCUGAGGACACUGUAAAAGGUGGCCAAGGUAAAUGCAGAUGAACCGCUUCUAAUAGUCCAUUGACUUGGACAAUACUUUUAUGAUCUGAUCUCAAAUCAUGUAGGACUACCCGCUGAACUUAAUC